GAACAUUCCUGGACGAGCAGGACAAGCCAGAACUUCCUCCUGAGGGUGUGUUCUGAGUGCCCGCUGGGUUGGUGCCUCCUGUUCUCCUGGGUCCCUGCCUUAAAGGGUCCAUGGGUUCAAACCUGAAUGCUGCACACCUCGGUCUAAAGAAAUUAAGUUCAAAGUUUAUAUGGAGUACAUGUUUGGAUGAAAACGAAACCACAGAGGACUUCCCUAGCAGUCUAGUGGUUAAGACUUGAUGCUUCCAAUGCAGGGGGCCUGGACUCAAUCCCUGGUUUGGGUACAAGGAUCCCACGUGCCAUGGGGUGUGGCAAAAAAAAAAAAAAAGAGAGAGAUUACAGAAAGCAAAGCCACAGAAAUGCACAAUAAUGAACUGCUUCUGUUCAAGAAAUGAAAAUCAGAUUGCACAAAAAUGAGCAUAAGCUUGAUGUCCACGCACAAAUAGAGCAACAGGUAGAUUUCUGCUUGGCUUUAUCAUUGUCCUUUUUAUUAAGAAUCAUGCAAGGACUCUAUUUCUUAUUUUAUCUUACUACAAUGUUGUUAAGGGAUCUAUUUUUGAGCAACAUUCUUUGUACAAGACCUUUCCAAGACCAGCUGGGCUCUCCCGACAGUUACUCUUCAUCACCUGAGCUGGACUCAAGCCCCCAGGGAGGGUCAGUGUGUUCAGUUUUACUUCUUCAGGUCACAGAAAAGUGGUCCAGACUCAUCAUGGUUUCAACCCCCGAGGAAAGUGAGGAUUUUAAAAAGGCUAUCAUCUCAGGAAUGUCCUGCAAAUUCUAUCACCAAAGACAGAACAACAGUCAAUCAAUUCUACAAACUAACUGUACUUUGCUGUUGUUUAGUUGCUCAGUCGUGUCCGACUCUUUGUGACCCCCUGGACUGUAGCCAGCCAAGCUUCUCCAUCCAUGGGAUUUCCCGGGCAAGAACAGUGGAGUGGGCUGCCAUUUCAUUCUCCAGGGGAUCUUCCUGACCCAGGGAUGGAAACUGCAUCUCUUGCAUCUCCUGAAUUGGCAGGCGAUUCUUUCCUGCUGAGUACUUAAGUCAGGUUUAAUUGAAGUAAAACGAUUCAGAAUUGUUAAUUCACUAGAUACAGCCCUUGUCAGGAAGACCCUUAACUAGAAUAUGCAAAAUAAUACUUGGGUUUACAGUCAAAAGUAUUUGGAACCCUUGAAGAGAAUAUAGGCAAAACAUUCUCUGACAUAAAUUGUACCAAUGUUUUCUUAAGUCAGUCUCACAAAACAAUAGAGAUAAAACAAAAAUAAACAAAUGGGACCCCUUCAAACUUACAAGCUUUUGUACAGCAAAGUAAACCAUAAGCAAAAUGAAAAGACAACCCACAGACUAGGAGAAAAUAUUUGCAAACUAUGUGACCAAAAAGGGCUUAAUUUCCAAAAUACACAAAUAGUUCAUACAACUCAACAUCAAAAAAAAAAAAACUAAUCAAAAAUAGGCAGAAGACCUAAACAGACAUUUCUCCAAAGGAGACAUACAGAUGGCCAAUAAGCACAUGAAAAGAUGCUCAACAUGCCUAAUUAUUAGAAAAAUGUAAAUCAGAACUACGUGGAAAUAUCACCUCACAUCAGUCAGAAUGGCCAUCAUGAAGAAGUCUACAAACAAUAAAUCCUGGAGAGAGUGUGUAGAAAAGGGAACCCUCCUACAAUGUUGGUGAGAAUGUAAGUUGGUGCAACCAUUAUGGUGAAUAGCAUGGAGGUUCCUUAAAAAACUAGAAAUAGAGUUACCAUAUGAUCCUGCAUUUCCACUCCCGGGCGUAUCCAGACGAAACUAAUCCCAAAAGAUACAUACUUCCCUAUUUUCACAGCAAUGCUAUUCACAAUAGCCCAGACGUGGAAGCAACCUAAAUGUCUAUCGACAGAUGAAUGGGUAAAGAAGAUGUGGUGUAUAUAGUAUAUAUACCAUGAAGCAUUAGUGAAGUGAGUGAAGUCGCUCAGUCAUGUCCGACUCUUUGCGACCCUAUGGACUGUAGCCCACCAGGAUCCAACCCCAUGGGAUUCUUCAAGCAAGAGUACUGGAGUGGGUUGCCAUUUCCUUCUCCAGGGGAUCUUCCCGACUCAGGGAUCGAACCCAGGUCUCCUGCAUUCCAGACAGACGCUUUAACCCCUGAGCCAUCAGGGAAGCCCAUGGAGCAUUACUCAGUCAUAAGAAAGAACCAAAUGACGCCAUUUGUAGCAACAUGGAUGGAUCUCGAGAUUAUCCAUUAAGUGAAAUUAAGUCAGGAAGAGAAAUACGAAUAUCAGAUCGUACCAUUCAUAUGCGGAACCUAAAUUAUGACACAAAUAAACCUGCCUAUGAAACAGAAUCACGGGGAACAGACUGGUGGUUGCCAAAGGGCAGGAGGUCGGGCAAAGGUUGGAGGGGGAGGUUGAGGUUAGCAGAUGCAAGCUUUAUAAACACGAGGGACAACAACAAGGCCCCAC
This is a long non-coding RNA of Bos taurus (domestic cattle), 2435 nucleotides long. Lineage: Eukaryota; Metazoa; Chordata; Mammalia; Artiodactyla; Bovidae. The record is from Ensembl.